GAAGACAUGUUCAGUUUGGAGCUGCCUGAUCAACAACAAAAUGGAUUUCUUAAUUCCAACCCUGUAACAGUUACAGUGGACAACACUCUGAGCCCGUCUCACACACUUGUUCAAAUUUUCUGCAAGGAUUACAAAGGUCUUAUGUAUGAUAUGAUGAGAACCUUGAAGGAUUAUAACAUCCAGAUUUCUUAUGGACGGUUUUUUGCAAGCCCAAAAAGGAACUGUGAAGUGGACUUGUUCAUAAUGCAAGCGGAUGGCAAGAAGAUAAUUGACCCCAAUAAACAAGAUGCAUUAUGCUCUCGUUUGAGAAUGGAGCUUCUGCACCCC
Molecule: unclassified non-coding RNA, 327 nt
Filed under: Hevea brasiliensis (rubber tree)
Lineage: Eukaryota; Viridiplantae; Streptophyta; Magnoliopsida; Malpighiales; Euphorbiaceae
Source: RNAcentral